This 253-nucleotide ribosomal RNA is filed under the name uncultured bacterium. Its description in RNAcentral is "partial 16S ribosomal RNA". It matches the Rfam family "Bacterial small subunit ribosomal RNA", at positions 524 to 776 of the family's 1533-position model. The record is from RNAcentral.
UACGAAGGGGGCUAGCGUUGCUCGGAAUUACUGGGCGUAAAGCGCACGUAGGCGGUUUCUUAAGUCGGUGGUGAAAUCCUGGAGCUCAACUCCAGAACUGCCUUCGAUACUGGGAAACUUGAGUCCGGGAGAGGUGAGUGGAACUGCGAGUGUAGAGGUGAAAUUCGUAGAUAUUCGCAAGAACACCAGUGGCGAAGGCGGCUCACUGGCCCGGUACUGACGCUGAGGUGCGAAAGCAUGGGGAGCAAACAGG